Molecule: ribosomal RNA, 119 nt
Filed under: Helianthus annuus (common sunflower)
Lineage: Eukaryota; Viridiplantae; Streptophyta; Magnoliopsida; Asterales; Asteraceae
Source: RNAcentral
GGUUGCGAUCAUACCAGCACUAAUGCACUGGAUCCCAUCAGAACUCUGCAGUUAAGCGUGCUUGGGCGAGAGUAGUACUGGGAUGGGUGACCCCCUGGGAAGUCCUCGUGUUGCAACCC